This 205-nucleotide ribosomal RNA is filed under the name uncultured bacterium. Its description in RNAcentral is "partial 16S ribosomal RNA". It matches the Rfam family "Bacterial small subunit ribosomal RNA", at positions 570 to 774 of the family's 1533-position model. The record is from RNAcentral.
CGCAGGCGGUCGUUUAAGUCGAAUGUGAAAGCCCCCGGCUCAACUGGGGAGGGUCAUUCGAUACUGAUCGACUUGAAGGCAGGAGAGGGAAGUGGAAUUCCGGGUGUAGUGGUGAAAUGCGUAGAUAUCCGGAGGAACACCAGUGGCGAAGGCGACUUCCUGGCCUGUUCUUGACGCUGAGGCGCAAAAGCUGGGGGAGCAAACG